CCUACGGGAGGCAGCAGUGAGGAAUAUUGGUCAAUGGGCGGAAGCCUGAACCAGCCAAGUAGCGUGCGGGAUGAAGGCCCUACGGGUCGUAAACCGCUUUUGCACGGGGAUAACACCCUCCACUUGUGGAGGUCUGCAGGUACCGUGCGAAUAAGGGCCGGCUAAUUCCGUGCCAGCAGCCGCGGUAAUACGGAAGGCCCGAGCGUUAUCCGGAUUCAUUGGGCUUAAAGGGAGCGUAGGCGGGCGUUCAAGUCAGCUGUAAAAUCGCGCGGCUCAACCGCGCCCCGCAGUUGAAACUGGACGCAUUGAUGUCACAACAGGCAGGCGGAAUUCGUGGUGUAGCGGUGAAAUGCAUAGAUAUCACGAGGAACCCCGAUUGCGAAGGCAGCCUGCCGGGGUGCGACUGACGCUGAGGCUCGAAGGUGCGGGUAUCAAACAGGAUUAGAUACCCCUGUAGUC
Molecule: ribosomal RNA, 459 nt
Filed under: uncultured bacterium
Lineage: Bacteria
Description: partial 16S ribosomal RNA
Rfam family: Bacterial small subunit ribosomal RNA
Source: RNAcentral